This is a non-coding RNA of Phascolarctos cinereus (koala), 603 nucleotides long. The record is from RefSeq and is a predicted model, not a curated record. NCBI's taxonomy places the organism in Eukaryota, Metazoa, Chordata, Mammalia, Diprotodontia, Phascolarctidae.
UUUUCUCCUCAACCAAUGCUACUCAAAUACCUGCUUUUAGGUAAACCAUGACUGGCAGUGUGCCUUAGUGGGUAGAGACUUAGCUUCAGAGUCAGGAAGACACCUGGGUUCACAUGGUUCCUCCCGGGUCAAGUGCUUUAGUCUCUCAGUGGCCCCAAGCAGGUCUCUGGGAUAACAAUAAACAGCAGGGAAGAUUGGGGCCUGCUCUGGGAGAGGGGGUUGUUUUCACCAGGGAGCUCUGUAGACUCAGGAAGUCAUGAGGCGGGGUCAAUCUCGAGCCCUUCCUGACUGUCACUGAAACCACUGCAGAGAAUCACAAAUACCAUCUUCCUUCUGCAGGGUUACAAAGAGAAGAAUAAAUUCAUGGCUGCUCAAGGCCCCAAACAGGAGAUGGCCAGGGACUUCUGGAGGAUGGUCUGGGAGCAGAAGUCAGAGACCAUUGUCAUGCUGACCAACUUGAAAGAAAGAAAAAAGGCUUUGGCUCUUCCAGCUUUGUUUCGGGUGCCACCCUGGCAGCAUGGAGUAAUCUAAUGCCCCUACUUCUAGAUGGUGACGACCCGUGACAUGGACUCUCACUGCCUUUCUUCUCCAGGAGACUCUUCC